This 468-nucleotide ribosomal RNA is filed under the name uncultured bacterium. RNAcentral describes it as "partial 16S ribosomal RNA". It matches the Rfam family "Bacterial small subunit ribosomal RNA", at positions 28 to 507 of the family's 1533-position model. The record is from RNAcentral.
GACGAACGCUGGCGGCGUGCUUAACACAUGCAAGUCGAACGGAAAGGCCCUGCUUUUGUGGGGUGCUCGAGUGGCGAACGGGUGAGUAACACGUGAGUAACCUGCCCUUGACUUUGGGAUAACUUCAGGAAACUGGGGCUAAUACCGGAUAGGAGCUCCUGCUGCAUGGUGGGGGUUGGAAAGUUUCGGCGGUUGGGGAUGGACUCGCGGCUUAUCAGCUUGUUGGUGGGGUAGUGGCUUACCAAGGCUUUGACGGGUAGCCGGCAUGAGAGGGUGACCGGCCACAUUGGGACUGAGAUACGGACCAGAAUCCUACGGGAGGCAGCAGUGGGGAAUAUUGCACAAUGGGCGGAAGCCUGAUGCAGCAACGCCGCGUGCGGGAUGACGGCCUUCGGGUUGUAAACCGCUUUCGCCUGUGACGAAGCGUGAGUGACGGUAAUGGGUAAAGAAGCACCGGCUAACUACGUG